This 158-nucleotide microRNA precursor is filed under the name Acyrthosiphon pisum (pea aphid). Its description in RNAcentral is "mir-210 microRNA precursor family". It matches the Rfam family "mir-210 microRNA precursor family". Lineage: Eukaryota; Metazoa; Arthropoda; Insecta; Hemiptera; Aphididae. The record is from Rfam by way of RNAcentral.
AACACAUUUGAUGUAGCUGCUGGACACUGCACAAGAAUUACUUAAAAGUCGCCACUCGGACUUGUACCUAUAAUAUCAUAUUAUUGUACACGGAGAGUGGUGGCGCCACACGUCUUGUGCGUGUGACAUCGGCUAUGUCGGGUGUGCGCAUAACUACA